Long non-coding RNA from Topomyia yanbarensis, 2284 nucleotides. RefSeq lists it as uncharacterized. The record is from RefSeq and is a predicted model, not a curated record. NCBI's taxonomy places the organism in Eukaryota, Metazoa, Arthropoda, Insecta, Diptera, Culicidae. The transcript has 5 exons.
UUCACUUUUUCCAAUUCCGCGCGUAGUGUUAAGUUCGUAAUUUUUUUUCUUUUGCUGCUUUGCCGUGAAGAAAUAUCGGGAUAAAGAUAACAAAUUCGUGGAUUGUGGCUGCUUUAUUUUAUAUCGCAGCGACCGUUGAAAAUAACAUGUUCCGGUGCAAGUGUGAUUGGAAAUUUUCCCAGCUGCAGCAUGUUGAUAAAAUUCCGUUCGCCUGCAAGUCACUGAGUUGUCCAGUUUCGGAAGAUAUUAGAUUUUUCUCAGUUUUGUGCAAUGGAAAACGUUUGAAUUCUGUAGGGAAGAUUUUUAGUCAGCAGAACAAGGAGAUAUUCUUGGAAAUGACCGAUUAUAUACCUCUGUGUAUUCAAGGAAUUCCACUAGAGGUAGAAUUUGACUGCACAGAUUCGUGCAAUUCCAAUUCGGUGAAAUUUUUGUCGAGAAUUUCGUAAAUACUCGUCAACUUAUCUACUCGGAUGUCGUAUUUGACAGUGUCAUACGUGCGAUUAAAAUAUCUAUAAAUAGAAAUUUGUAGGAUAUAUUAUCGGUGCAGCUUCAGCGCAAAAUGGUGUUGUCAGGGCUACUUGUGUAAGGAUAAAUGCUGCACCGCAAGUGGAGCCACCCACAAGAUCCGGCAUACGAAAAAAAUAUGACUGUAGACUUAGUUACUGAUGAAUCGUAUGCCAUUUUAUGUACUAUAGAACCCGAUCCAAAAAUUUUAUUUAGUGCUCCUCCACUCGCUGCCAUUGCUGUGUUGAACGUGAUCAUGGCAUUCGGUAAUUUAUUUGUUUUCGUGACACUUAUUCAGGAUUUUUUUUGGUAGCAUUGUUUACACCUGAUCUCCAUGAUAGUCCACCCUGGACACUAAUCCAGACACAUUAACCUGCCCAGAAACCAGUGUCAUGCAAACUCGUUCGAGUCCAAAUGCUUUCCGAGUUUCAAGGUUUUGCGAUCGUCUAAAUAUUUCAAAUUAAUGGUAACGAUAAACUUUGUCGGAUAGAAAAACUUUCAGUAUAGUAAUAGUCUGUAUCACCUGGCAAUCUGACUUCCUUGAAUAGCACAAACCGUCGUCUUUUAUAUCCUUGCAUUAUGGAAAUUGCACAAAACUCGGAAGGAUACGACCAGCACCGAGCUAUAGGACGAUUGGUAGUGGUCGAAACAUUUAAGUGUUACUCCGGAGCUUGAGCUCCAAUUGAACCACUAAUAAUCUAAUGGCUGCAUAAUUAUUUCGUGGUUAGUUUGUGUGGAAAUGAACCACAACGGCAGCCGAUACACGUCGUUCGCCUUUGCUAGUGGAGGGAUCGCUGGCAGCGGCGGUGCCCGAGGGGAACUGAGCAGUAGAAAUUUGAGAAGAAAGCUGAGAAGUCCGAUGGCAGAGUCGACACAGCUGGACAGCAGCGGUAUCCGGGGGAAUCUUUACGGCAGUCCGGUACGACAGGUUGGAGUUGGGAAAAGAAGCCUACCUCUCCGUUGCAAAAUAGCAGGACAAAUUUUAGAAGCAGCUGAACGGCGUCUGUGGAUCGAUUGAUUGUUCCUAAGAUUUAUACGGAUGUUCAGAGCCGAGGAUUGGUUAAUCGGUUGGUAAAGUACCACGACAAAUCGCAAACGCCGUUAAAUAGGAGUCAAUCGAUGACUAGCCUGUACUCGAUGCCGGGUCAAUUUCAUGUGUGGUGGAGGAGAAACAAUUCUUCGAUAGCUCCCAUUGGUUCGGAUUGCCCCGUCAGAGAACUCCGUGUUUCAGGCUGACACAAGGUGGAACGGGAGGGAUCGUUGCUCAUUCCGGCGGAACCUCAUCUGAAGAUGGUCCGAACACAUAGACACGAGGAUGAGAUUGAUGCGGAAAAUAGUGUGAUUGCGCCUUCGACAGAACUGGAUGCCGAUUGGAUUAAGAAACAAUGUAAGGAACUAUCGGAGGUUGAUUCAGGCGCAGCUUGUACGAAGCAAGCUCGGGAAAUUACAUACACGGCUUCGCACCCGUGUCGAGGGUCGGCGAAUCAGCAGCUGCAGACGAAGAAAUUAUGUAGUAUAGCCUCGAGCCUGGUGAUGAACACUCCGAAAGUGGAACACGUAGCGCCCCGACCGGCACGAUUAAAUGUGGAUGUCUUUCUCGACGCCGGCAACAUUGAAUACGACGGUUCCAGUUAGCAUGAUUGAAUCGAGCAAACCGGCAAAAUUAAGUAGAAUUGAUUCCGCUCCUUUGUCACAGAUUACGAGAAUUGUUCCGAAGUUUCAACCGCCUCUGAUGGAAUAUCCGCCACUAAAGCUAACAUUGUUUAACAAAUAUAAUGUC